AGACGUCUACAUUAGACUACCCCCGUAGUCCCAGCCCUAAACGAUGCGCGUUAGGUGUAUCGGUGACCACGAGUCACCGAGGUGCCGAAGGGAAACCGUGAAACGUGCCGCCUGGGAAGUACGGUCGCAAGGCUGAAACUUAAAGGAGUUGGCGGGGGAGCACCACAACGGGUGGAGCCUGCGGUUUAAUUGGACUCAACGCCGGGAAGCUCACCGGAUAAGACAGCGGAAUGAUUGCCGGGCUGAAGACCCUGCAUGACCAGCUG
Molecule: ribosomal RNA, 266 nt
Filed under: uncultured archaeon
Lineage: Archaea
Description: partial 16S ribosomal RNA
Rfam family: Archaeal small subunit ribosomal RNA
Source: RNAcentral